UAGGGAAUAUUGGUCAAUGGGCGCAAGCCUGAACCAGCCAUGUCGCGUGCAGGAUUGAAGGUCCUUAGGAUUGUAAACUGCUUUUUUAUGGGAGCAAUACCUUCUUGCGAGAAGGCUUGAGAGUACCAUAAGAAUAAGCACCGGCUAACUCCGUGCCAGCAGCCGCGGUAAUACGGAGGGUGCAAGCGUUAUCCGGAUUUAUUGGGUUUAAAGGGUACGUAGGCGGUGAGGUCAGUCAGUGGUGAAAGCCAGCAGCUUAACUGUUGAACUGCCAUUGAUACUGCCUCACUAGAGUUCAGUCGAGGUGGGUGGAAUUCCACAUGUAGUGGUGAAAUGCAUAGAUAUGUGGAGGAACACCGAUAACGAAGGUAACUCACUAGGCUGAUACUGACGCUGAGGUACGAAAGCGUGGGGAGCGAACGGGAUUAGAUACCCCCGUAGUCC
This 444-nucleotide ribosomal RNA is filed under the name uncultured prokaryote. RNAcentral describes it as "bacterial SSU rRNA". It matches the Rfam family "Bacterial small subunit ribosomal RNA", at positions 355 to 796 of the family's 1533-position model. The record is from RNAcentral.